AACUUGUCCAACCUUAUUAGUUAAAAGAAGCUACUCAACAAAGAACAAAGUCCAGUCUCUGUGAAGGCAGCAGAAAUCUUGCAUCAUUUUCUAUUGACUGCAGCACAGUUACAAAAGAUUUCCAUUUGCAGAAUUAAGUUCAAUUUUGGGCCUACGUGACAAGCCACAUUUUAAUGACAUCUUUCCCCAGGUAUGGCUCAAGCUUGUAUGUGGGCUCUAGAUUGGAAGAAUAAAUUCUGGGGACAUUUGAGACUUUUUUAGAUGCUGGUGAGAUAGUCAACCCUCGUGAAUGAAAAAGUUCUGGGGAGAGCCUUUGGACAUUGCUUUCAGGAAGAUUGAUUCUGAUCAUCUUAUCAGCCAAGGCAUAUGACCAGGGAGAGUGCUGGGAGCAGGCAGGCCGUUUCCACCACCGUGACACAGAAACAAACGGCAGAUUAUCUGCUGGGUACAAAAGGUCAGAGGACCACGGAGUAUCCUGAGUUGGAAGGGAUCCACAAGGAUCAUUGAGGUCUACAAAGAGGCUUCAAAUGACUUCUGUUGUUCCAUAGGAAGCUGAAGGGUGUUGUUUAUAGAGAAGCUGGAUAUCAAAAUUUUGCUCUGUGGUGCCUGUUGCCAUUGAGAUUGGAGGAAGCCUGGACAAUGUUCAGCCUUGCACGGGCAUGUGGCUGUGAAUUAAAGGAAACAACAAAUAUCUGUGAAUCAUUCCCCACGCUCCAGCAUUUUUUCUAAAAUCCUUCAAGAAGAGCUGUAGAGAGUUAAAAAAAAAAAAAAAUGCCAGUAUAUUUCCAGCACUCUAAAUCAUUCUGAGACAUAAUAUGAAAACAACCAAUGGUAUAACAUUCAAUGGGAGGGGUUGCUGUGGGGUACUGAUGAAGAUCAAAUAAGAUGAAAGAAAUCUCCUUCAUGUAUGAGAUACAGAACAGGUAGAAGUCAGAAAGUUUUGAUUUGUUUUGUUGAAUUGGGAGAUUAAAGAUCUAUUAAGAUCUGUUAUAGAGAAUAGAGAUCUGUAAAGAUCUAUAAAGAUCUAUUAAGAUCUUUGCCUGUUUAAAACAAACAAACAAAUAACAACAACAACAAAAAAAAACAAGAAAAAUGAAAAUGAUUGGCAUUACAGAGAGGUGAGAUACACAGGAUUCCUUUCUUUGCCUUGUCUUUUUUCUUCUUUUCCUUUUCCUUUUCCUUUUCCUUUUCCUUUUCCUUUUCCUUUUUUCUCUUCCUCUUCCUUUUCCUUUUCCUUUUUUCUCUUCCUCUUCCUCUUUCUUUCUCUUCAUCUUCCUCUUUUUCUUUUUUCUUUUCCUUUUUCCUCUUUUCUCUUCUUUUUCUUCUUCUUUUUUCCUUCUGUCUUCCACUUCUCUCUCUCUCUCUCUCUCGCUCUCUGUCUCUCUCUCUCUCUCUCUUUUUUUUUUUUUUUUUUUUUCCCCAGCACUGGACAGC
This 1434-nucleotide long non-coding RNA is filed under the name Gallus gallus (chicken). Its description in RNAcentral is "lncRNA (ENSGALG00010014072.1)". The record is from RNAcentral. Lineage: Eukaryota; Metazoa; Chordata; Aves; Galliformes; Phasianidae.